RNAcentral lists this long non-coding RNA (440 nucleotides) under Rattus norvegicus (Norway rat). RNAcentral describes it as "long non-coding RNA NONRATT008802". Lineage: Eukaryota; Metazoa; Chordata; Mammalia; Rodentia; Muridae. The record is from RNAcentral.
GCCUGGACUAGGGAGUCGCCGCUGUCGCUGUCGCCGUCGCUGUUGCUGCGGAGGGCGCAGACCUGGUGAUGUUUCCAGUCUUUGGCUACUGUAUCCCAGCACAGGAUGCUGCUUUGUACUACCAGUGCCCACAAGCUUGAGACUGUUUAUGACCAUAAGUUUCCAAAGAUGUCUAUCAAAGAAUCUUGUGGAAAGGAAGAAAAGUCUCAGAAAAAACAGACUACCUCUUCACCAACUUUUGAUGAAGACAAGAAAGAGGGAGAAAUCUCAGCAGGUUCUACUAGUUCAGAACACUGUGUUAAGCCUGUUUCAACCAAGAAGAGAAAACUGAAACCAGAUGAUACAGACAUUGUAUACUAUAAUACAAACAGAAAACACAGUAUGAAAAGAUGGAUUGAGUGAUGAGAACAAUGAUGAUCGAGUAUUAAAGUGCUGUCUUC